Molecule: transfer RNA, 77 nt
Filed under: Sphaerodactylus townsendi
Lineage: Eukaryota; Metazoa; Chordata; Lepidosauria; Squamata; Sphaerodactylidae
Description: tRNA-Ala
Source: RNAcentral
GGAAGCACCAGGCUCAGUGGCCAAAGCAUCUGCUUGGCAUACAGAAGGCUCCCCAGGUUCAAUCCCUGGUAUUUCCU